GACGAACGCUGGCGGCGUGCUUAACACAUGCAAGUCGAACGGAAAGGCCCUGCUUUUGUGGGGUGCUCGAGUGGCGAACGGGUGAGUAACACGUGAGUAACCUGCCCUUGACUUUGGGAUAACUUCAGGAAACUGGGGCUAAUACCGGAUAGGAGCUCCUGCUGCAGGGUGGGGGUUGGAAAGUUUCGGCGGUUGGGGAUGGACUCGCGGCUUAUCAGCUUGGUGGUGGGGUAGUGUCUUACCAAGGCUUUGACGGGUAGCCGGCCUGGGAGGAUGACCGGACCAGUUGCGCUUGGGCUGCGGCCCAGACCCCUCCGGGAGGCAGCGGUGGGGUAGAUUGCACAGUGGGCGGAGGGCUGGUGCAGCAACGCCGCGUGGCGGAUAUCGUGCUUGGGGUUGGAAACCGCAUUCGCCUGUGACGAAGCGUGAGUGACGGUAAUGGGUAAAGAAGCACCGGCUAACUACGUG
This 468-nucleotide ribosomal RNA is filed under the name uncultured bacterium. Its description in RNAcentral is "partial 16S ribosomal RNA". It matches the Rfam family "Bacterial small subunit ribosomal RNA", at positions 28 to 507 of the family's 1533-position model. The record is from RNAcentral.